UGCAGUAACGGCACGUUUGUGUACGGAUACAGGGUGUUCAUAGAUGGGGACUUCCACAAAUCUGUCAUGAGCUCAGCGUGCACCAAGUGUAUUGUAGAGAAUGUCGACCUAAGUGUCCCGGUCCAUAUCAGUGUCCAAACGUUGGGAUCUAAUGGUCUGAGUUCAAACAGCGUCCACAUCAUGUACAGGACCUCAGUCAGGGCAGACCAGCACUGACUGACUACAACAUCUCACACUGUGGUUUAGAUCAACAAUGUCGCUGUACAGUUUUGACACCUUCUCAGUGAAAACCUUCCUCACCAGGCCGAGGUGUGAAUGCCAUCUAUAGCUAUCUAUAGCAACCCUCUGAGGGACCGUCCUAACUUCCACCUCAGCGGAGACACCGUCACACUGCUGGAAUACGCUCUCCACGUGAGGCUCAGGUCAACCAAUCAGAAAAGCUCAGCUCAUGUGGUCAUUACCUAUGAGCAUGUAGUGACCUGCAACUAGCCACUAAACCUCAAAAUGAUUAACUGAAGAUGUCAAACUAAACACCGCAUAAGAUUCCUGGCUCUGCGCUGAGAGUUAAUCUGCAUGUAAAAGCAUGUGAGGAUUGGCCCCAUCCUUGUUGGAAGAACUUCCUGUUUCAGAGUCCCACCCACUGGAUUCACCUCAUGAAUGCCAGGUGAAAGGCCAGAGCGGCUGCCAAUCAAACAAGUCUGAAAAACAACUGCAAGCAAAUGUUGAUAAAGCCAAGCUCAGUCACACUGUCAAAAGCUGCCUGUGACCCCUACAUUUACUAACACAGGAGGGACAUCUGCAUCUGCUGCACACUUUUACACUGUGUUAAACUCCGACAGAUUGUGUGUCACAUUGCUUCAUUGAAGAUCCCCACUGCUGCCUCUCUGGACUCUGUGACGUGAACAGCCGGCCGAUGGGACAUUUACUGUCUGAAAAGUGUUUUUUAAAGCAACACUUGCUGUAUAAUGUGCCGACACAACAUUUACCCGCGGGUCAUCUUACUUGAUUUUUACACAUGAAGCCAAAUAUGAGAAAAGAAGAUUCACUCCAAAGACUGAUCUGUUUCCUACUCCUCAUAGGUCUACGUGAUUUCUUUAAACACAAAAGCCAGAUGUUAUUUUAGUUUUAAAAUUUGCACACAAUCAUUAAUUAAAAAAAAGAGAAUACCACUGAUAUUUUUUGUAGAGAAUAUUAUAAAAAAUAUGCCAAUGGUGUAUUCAAGAUUAUACCACAUAUGUCUUUUUGUAUGAGUGACACUUUGUCUUUCAUACCUAAUCGAUGUCAUGUUUGCACGCUCACAUUGACUUUUGUUUUAUACAAAGUUCACAACACACACGUGGUGUUCUUUUGCUACUUACUGUAUGUACGAGUGUGGAGUGACCAUGGUGCAGCAAAUGUAUUUUUCUAUCAGUAAUUGAUAAUAUUGAUUUCCCAUUUAUUGCUUUCAACUGUAUAGAGAAUAAAUGUUUAUAUGAUAUUAACUGUCA
This is a long non-coding RNA of Seriola aureovittata, 1487 nucleotides long. RefSeq lists it as uncharacterized. Lineage: Eukaryota; Metazoa; Chordata; Actinopteri; Carangiformes; Carangidae. The record is from RefSeq and is a predicted model, not a curated record. The transcript has 5 exons.